Long non-coding RNA from Melospiza melodia melodia, 492 nucleotides. RefSeq lists it as uncharacterized. The transcript has 3 exons. Lineage: Eukaryota; Metazoa; Chordata; Aves; Passeriformes; Passerellidae. The record is from RefSeq and is a predicted model, not a curated record.
UGGAGUUCUACCGGAGGUUGCUGGUGGACCUGGAGGGUGUUGGCAAGGGAGUGGCAGCCCUGAUCAUCACAGCCAGGUGUCUCGUUCCUGAGCUCCAAGUGUCCUCCCCAGUGCUGCUGUGUGAUGAGUGCCACCUGAAGGUGCCCUAUGAGAGGAAGAUCCUCAUUAGGAAUCCCAGCCACCUUCCUGGCUGCUACGGGCUUAUUCCCCAGAAACGCAAGGAGGACUCUGCUGUGCUCUACUCCAGCCCCAAGCCCUGUGGGAUUGUGCAGCCCCAGAGCACAGCAGAGAUCCCAGUUGUGGUGGCAGUGCAGGCCCUGGGCACUCAUCGCACCGACGUUCUCAUCGGCGUGUUCGGGGAUGAGAGGAACCCCCUGGUGAGGGCAAGGGGAGCUGUGAGCCUGUGUGCAGCUGCUCCUGGCAGGGUGCACGGGGACAGGGAUUCUGCCGGGGAAAACAGGCACAGGCUGCUGGGGAGAAGGACAGGAGGGA